UCCCUGGUUGCUCAGAUGGUAAAGAAUCUGCCUGUAAUGCAGGAAACUCGGGUUCAAUCCCUGAGUAGGGAA
Molecule: transfer RNA, 72 nt
Filed under: Ovis aries (sheep)
Lineage: Eukaryota; Metazoa; Chordata; Mammalia; Artiodactyla; Bovidae
Rfam family: tRNA
About the family: Transfer RNA (tRNA) molecules are approximately 80 nucleotides in length. Their secondary structure includes four short double-helical elements and three loops (D, anti-codon, and T loops). Further hydrogen bonds mediate the characteristic L-shaped molecular structure. tRNAs have two regions of fundamental functional importance: the anti-codon, which is responsible for specific mRNA codon recognition, and the 3' end, to which the tRNAs corresponding amino acid is attached (by aminoacyl-tRNA synthetases). tRNAs cope with the degeneracy of the genetic code in two manners: having more than one tRNA (with a specific anti-codon) for a particular amino acid; and 'wobble' base-pairing, i.e. permitting non-standard base-pairing at the 3rd anti-codon position.
Source: Rfam by way of RNAcentral